UGACUUAAAACUUGAAAGAAAUUCCCUCGUUCUCCAGGUGCGCGCUUGAUGCCUUAAAACUUGAAAUGAAUUCCCUUGUUUUCCAAGUGGGGGCCUGCUGACUUAAAAACUUAAAAUGAAUUCCCUCGUUUUCCAGGUGGGUGCCUGAUGUUGACUUAACACUUGAAAUGAAUUCCCUCAUUCUCCAGGUGGGCGCCUAAUGCUGACUUAAAACCUGAAAUGAAUUCCCUCAUUCUCCAGGUGGGAGCCUAAUGCUGA
This 258-nucleotide long non-coding RNA is filed under the name Nicotiana tabacum (common tobacco). RNAcentral describes it as "long non-coding RNA (NTAB_LNC010354)". The record is from RNAcentral. Lineage: Eukaryota; Viridiplantae; Streptophyta; Magnoliopsida; Solanales; Solanaceae.